This 70-nucleotide transfer RNA is filed under the name Peirates atromaculatus. Its description in RNAcentral is "tRNA-Met". It matches the Rfam family "tRNA". Rfam says of the family: Transfer RNA (tRNA) molecules are approximately 80 nucleotides in length. Their secondary structure includes four short double-helical elements and three loops (D, anti-codon, and T loops). Lineage: Eukaryota; Metazoa; Arthropoda; Insecta; Hemiptera; Reduviidae. The record is from RNAcentral.
AAAAAGAUAAGCUAAGUAAAGCUAUUAGGUUCAUACCCUAAUUAUAGAGGUUAUACCCCUCUUCUUUUUA